GACGAACGCUGGCGGCGUGCUUAACACAUGCAAGUCGAACGGAAAGGCCCUGCUUUUGUGGGGUGCUCGAGUGGCGAACGGGUGAGUAACACGUGAGUAACCUGCCCUUGACUUUGGGAUAACUUCAGGAAACUGGGGCUAAUACCGGAUAGAAUCUCUUGAUCCACGUGGGGGGUGGGAAAGUUUCGGCGUUGGGGGAUGGACUAGCGGCUUAUCAGCUUGUUGGUGGGGUAGUGGCUUACCAAGCUUUUGACGGGUAGCCGGCCUGGGAGGGUGACCGGCCACAUUGGGACUGAGAUACGGCCCAGACGCCUACGGGAGGCAGCAGUGGGGAAUAUUGCACAAUGGGCGGAAGCCUGAUGCAGCAACGCCGCGUGCGGGAUGACGGCCUUCGGGUUGUAAACCGCUUUCGCCUGUGACGAAGCGUGAGUGACGGUAAUGGGUAAAGAAGCACCGGCUAACUACGUG
This 468-nucleotide ribosomal RNA is filed under the name uncultured bacterium. Its description in RNAcentral is "partial 16S ribosomal RNA". It matches the Rfam family "Bacterial small subunit ribosomal RNA", at positions 28 to 507 of the family's 1533-position model. The record is from RNAcentral.